Molecule: long non-coding RNA, 1327 nt
Filed under: Piliocolobus tephrosceles (Ugandan red Colobus)
Lineage: Eukaryota; Metazoa; Chordata; Mammalia; Primates; Cercopithecidae
Description: lncRNA (ENSPTEG00000013933.1)
Source: RNAcentral
AUGAUAAACAUUAUGAAUAAAUAUUUUUUCUCAAAAUACUGUAAUACAAAAGUAAAUUUAUUUCAAAAAUAUUUUUUUAAAAAGAAGAAACUUAUGCGAAGAAGAAGUUACAACUCCAUUUUUUGCAACAUAUGCAAUGUUAUUUUUUUUUCGUUAAAUUCUUAUUUCAUAAAGAAAUACAUACUUUCAAAAAACGUUAAUAUAUUUUAUUUAGAAGAUAAAACAAAUGCUUAUUUGGAAAAAAAAUAUAAGACUAAGACUCCGUAUAUAAAAACAGAAAGUGGUAUACUCUAUAAGGACCUAAUAGAUGGAGAAGGAGACCCAAUAGAAGAAGGUGAUAUCGUAUAUAUCCAUUACCAAGGAAAAACAACAAAUGAUUUUCGAAUUAUCCAAUCAACAUUCAAAAGUAUUAUUCCACCUAAAAUUAAAGCUGGGUGUUAUGAUAGAAUGCAUAUACCAGCUAUUUACGAAAUGGUUAUUAAUAUGAAAAAACAUACGAGGAGACAAUGUAUUAUUCCUCCACAUAUGGGUUUACCCAAUCAUUUCCCUAAUCAAGUAAGUCAAAAAAAAAAAAAAAAAAAAAAAAAUUAACAAUGAAAGCAGAGUUAGCAAAAUCUUCUUUCGUGCAACUUAAUUCGAAUAUUCCUCAAUUUACUCAAUUUUUUUUUAUUUUUAUUUUAUAGCCCCUUCUUUACGAAAUAGACGUUGUCAGAAUAGUAAAAAAGAACGCACCACAAAAAACACUUUUGGAAAAAAUCAAAGCGCAAAUUGAAUAUUUGAAAAAUAUUAUUUUUACUUUCUUUUAAUUUAUUAUAUACGUCAAUGUAAAAAAUAUAUAUAUAUAUAUAUAUCUAUUAAGCAUCAUUUAUGUAUCUUUUGGUAUCAUUUGUUUUUAAUUUUUUUUUUUUUUUUUUUUUAUCACUAAAACAAUUACUUUAUACUGAGCACUUUCUUUCUUGUUUGUCUGCCUAUUUACCAUUUAGACUAUUAUUUCAACUUUUAUCAUUCAUCUUCCACCAAUUCAUUCAUUAUACUUGAUGCAAUGUGGUUUAACUUUUUUUUCUCUUCUACUUUUUUUACACAAUCACCAUUUACAACACCAUUUACAACACCAUUUACAACACCAUUUACAACACCAUUUACAACNNNNNNNNNNCCAUUUACAACACCAUUUACAACACCAUUUACAACACCAUUUACAACGCCAUUUUCAACACCAUUUACAACGCCAUUUUCAACACCAUUUACAACACCAUUUUCAACACCAUUUACAACACCAUUUACAACGCCAUUUUCAACGCCAUUUUCAACACCAUUUUCAACACCA